RNAcentral lists this ribosomal RNA (253 nucleotides) under uncultured Brevundimonas sp. RNAcentral's name for it is "partial 16S ribosomal RNA". It matches the Rfam family "Bacterial small subunit ribosomal RNA", at positions 524 to 776 of the family's 1533-position model. The record is from RNAcentral. Lineage: Bacteria; Pseudomonadati; Pseudomonadota; Alphaproteobacteria; Caulobacterales; Caulobacteraceae.
UACGAAGGGGGCUAGCGUUGCUCGGAAUUACUGGGCGUAAAGGGAGCGUAGGCGGACAUUUAAGUCAAAAAUGAAAUCCCAAAACUCAACCUCGGAAUUGCCUUUGAUACUGGGUGUCUUGAGUGUGAGAGAGGUAUGUGGAACUCCGAGUGUAGAGGUGAAAUUCGUAGAUAUUCGGAAGAACACCAGUGGCGAAGGCGACAUACUGGCUCAUUACUGACGCUGAGGCUCGAAAGCAUGGGGAGCAAACAGG